GGGCCCGUAGCUCAGUCAGGUAGAGUAUCGGGCUUUUAACCCGAGGGUCCCGGGUUCGACUCCCGGCGGGCCCG
RNAcentral lists this transfer RNA (74 nucleotides) under Nitrososphaerota archaeon. RNAcentral describes it as "tRNA-Lys". It matches the Rfam family "tRNA". Rfam says of the family: Transfer RNA (tRNA) molecules are approximately 80 nucleotides in length. Their secondary structure includes four short double-helical elements and three loops (D, anti-codon, and T loops). Lineage: Archaea; Thermoproteati; Nitrososphaerota. The record is from RNAcentral.